AUUACACUUGACAUCCCUUGCAUUACCCGUAAUUGGGGAAAUCUCUUCGGAGACAAGGUGACAGGUGGUGCAUGGUUGUCGUCAGCUCGUGUCGUGAGAUGUUGGGUUAAGUCCCGCAACGAGCGCAACCCCUAUUGUUAGUUGCUACUAUUAAGUUAAGCACUCUAGCGAGACUGCCUGGGUUAACCAGGAGGAAGGUGGGGACCGACGUCAAAUCAUCAUGCCCCUUAUGUGUAGGGCUACACACGUGCUACAAUGGCUGGUACAGAGAGACGCAAGACCGUGAGGUGGAGCAAAUCCCAGAAAACCAGUCCCAGUUCGGAUUGAAGGCUGAAACUCGCCUUCAUGAAGCCGGAGUUGCUAGUAAU
RNAcentral lists this ribosomal RNA (368 nucleotides) under uncultured bacterium. Its description in RNAcentral is "bacterial SSU rRNA". It matches the Rfam family "Bacterial small subunit ribosomal RNA", at positions 966 to 1342 of the family's 1533-position model. The record is from RNAcentral.